CCCCCUCUCUCUUGUUUAAUAUUUCAAACUUCAAAUUAUACACUUACAUUUCCAAUUAUAUCUCCUAUGACCAUUUAAGUACAGCUUAGUUCUAACUUUGAGACUUGAGAUCCAUCACUGUUGUAACACUCGGCCCAUUGGGCCUUAAACCCAGAAGCCCAAAAAAAAAAAGAAAAUUGAAGAAAACACCCUGCGAGAGUCUUCUUCCACCAUCGACGGCUCC
This 223-nucleotide long non-coding RNA is filed under the name Elaeis guineensis (African oil palm). RNAcentral describes it as "long non-coding RNA (EGUI_LNC031364)". Lineage: Eukaryota; Viridiplantae; Streptophyta; Magnoliopsida; Arecales; Arecaceae. The record is from RNAcentral.